AACUAACAAGGAUUCCCCUAGUAACUGCGAGUGAAGCGGGAAAAGCUCAAAUUUAAAAUCUGACAGUUGUUUUGGCUGUCCGAGUUGUAAUCUAGAGAAGUGUCUACCCGCGCUGGACCGUGUACAAGUCUCCUGGAAUGGAGCAUCAUAGAGGGUGAGAAUCCCGUCUUUGACAUGGAUCUACCAGGGCUUUGUGGUGCACUCUCAAAGAGUCGAGUUGUUUGGGAAUGCAGCUCAAAAUGGGUGGUAAAUGCCAUCUAAAGCUAAAUAUUGGCGAGAGACCGAUAGCGAACAAGUACCGUGAGGGAAAGAUGAAAAGAACUUUGGAAAGAGAGUUAAACAGUACGUGAAAUUGCUGAAAGGGAAACGCUUGAAGUCAGUCGCAUCGACUGGAAAUCAACCUUGCUUUUGCAUGGUGUACUUUCUGGCUGAUGGGUCAGCAUCAAUUUUGAUUGCUGGAUAAAGGCUUGGGGAAUGUGGCAUCUUUGGAUGUGUUAUAGCCCCUGGCUGCAUACGGCAGUUGGGAUUGAGGAACUCAGCAUGCCGCAAGGCCGGGUCUUUUUGACCACGUAUAUGUGCUUAGGAUGCUGGCAUAAUGGCUUUAAUCGACCCGUCUUGAAACACGGACCAAGGAGUCUAACAUGCAUGCGAGUGUUUGGGUGGAAAACCCAUGCGCGCAAUGAAAGUGAAAGUUGAGAUCCCUGUCGUGGGGAGCAUCGACGCCCAGACCAGACCUUUUGUGACGGAUCUGCGGUAGAGCAUGUAUGUUGGGACCCGAAAGAUGGUGAACUAUGCCUGAAUAGGGUGAAGCCAGAGGAAACUCUGGUGGAGGCUCGUAGCGAUUCUGACGUGCAAAUCGAUCGUCAAAUUUGGGUAUAGGGGCGAAAGACUAAUCGA
This 897-nucleotide ribosomal RNA is filed under the name Mallocybe arenaria. Its description in RNAcentral is "partial large subunit ribosomal RNA". It matches the Rfam family "Eukaryotic large subunit ribosomal RNA", at positions 63 to 938 of the family's 3401-position model. Lineage: Eukaryota; Fungi; Basidiomycota; Agaricomycetes; Agaricales; Inocybaceae. The record is from RNAcentral.